GAUGAAGAACGUAGCGAAAUGCGAUAAGUAAUGUGAAUUGCAGAAUUCAGUGAAUCAUCGAAUCUUUGAACGCACAUUGCGCCCGCCAGUAUUCUGGCGGGCAUGCCUGUCUGAGCGUCAUUACAACCCUCAGGCCCCCGGGCCUGGCGUUGGGGAUCGGCGGAGCCCCCCGUGGGCACACGCCGUCCCCCAAAUGCAGUGGCGGUCCCGCCGCAGCUUCCAUCGCGUAGUAGCUAACACCUCGCGACUGGAGAGCGGCGCGGCCACGCCGUAAAACACCCAACUCUUCUGAAGUUGACCUCGAAUCAGGUAGGAAUACCCGCUGAACUUAAGCAUAUCAAUAAGCGGAGGA
Molecule: unclassified non-coding RNA, 352 nt
Filed under: soil metagenome
Description: partial contains 5.8S ribosomal RNA, internal transcribed spacer 2, and large subunit ribosomal RNA
Rfam family: 5.8S ribosomal RNA (bases 1-120)
Source: RNAcentral